UAGAAAUCCAGUGUUACAAUUUUAUUUGCAAGCCCAUAGGAUUUCUUCAGUUUCAGUAGGAUCAUCAAGCUAAGUCACAAGGACCAAUUUUCUCUUGACCUAAAGUCUUCAUACUCGAGCAACAACAUGGAUGGACCUUGAGGACAUUAUGCUAAUGGGAAAUAAUACCUUCCUGACAUUUUGACAAGUUAAUGAAGCAUCUCUUUCCCAUCUGAAAAAGUCAGUUGGCAUCCCUUCGUCAAGCAAGUGGGUCACCGCCACGGCAUAAACGCUGACAAGUGGGGUAAGUCCACACCAAGGAACCGAACUCAGGCUACCAAAUGAUCCAGAAGAAGACAGUCUACAGGGAGAAGUAAAAAUGAAGUAAAGAGAUCAGUAGUCUCAGAUCUGCCUUUCUUUCCACCACUCAGUUUCUUCCUACAGCUCAGGAUGCUGGUUGAGGCUCCACAGCACCCUCUUGAAGACCUACAGCACCUUCUCAAGGAUCCACGGCCCCCUCUGGAGGCUCUGUUGCACCCUUUUGGGGAUCUAUAGCACCGUCUUGCCACUUUUCCUGGCUCCCCAGGGCUUCCUCCCAGUGCCUAUUCUCUGCUCUCUUUGCUGGCUUCCAACUGCCAUUAAUUCUAAUACAUGCCCUUCCCUAACAUGUUUACCUGGGGAAGAAUCUAAGUAAUUAAUUCUCACUAGGUAUUACUGAUUAAUUUAUUAGAAUCCUAAAAAGUUGUGCAUUUUAACAGGAAUUCCCUUCACCCAAAGGGUUGUUAGAGGUGGGACGGACCUUAAAAGUAAAAGCGAUUGAAGCCAAGUCUCUCCUCCUCCCUCCACACUUCAUUUGUAAGCUACAUACAGCCACACCAGGGCUGAUGCUGUCUGUACUAGUCCUUCUUAUACUACAUUGCCUCCAGUGAAGGAGCUCCCAGCACCAGGACAGAUGUGUUAGGGAUAUUUCUGAAGCAAGAGAGCCUUUUCAGCAUGCUUAAACAUUCCUUAUAGGCUAUGAUCUUCUUAACUCACACAUUAGGCUUUCCUGAGAAAGCAGACAGCAAUACCAUUAGCCCUGGAUAUAAAAACUUAUCUACC
This 1080-nucleotide long non-coding RNA is filed under the name Equus caballus (horse). RNAcentral's name for it is "lncRNA (ENSECAG00000028271.2)". Lineage: Eukaryota; Metazoa; Chordata; Mammalia; Perissodactyla; Equidae. The record is from RNAcentral.